This 1317-nucleotide ribosomal RNA is filed under the name uncultured fungus. RNAcentral's name for it is "eukaryotic LSU rRNA". The stretch from base 655 to 1317 matches the Rfam family "Eukaryotic large subunit ribosomal RNA", at positions 1 to 649 of the family's 3401-position model. Lineage: Eukaryota; Fungi. The record is from RNAcentral.
AAGUCGUAACAAGGUUUCCGUAGGUGAACCUGCGGAAGGAUCAUUAUUGAAAUAAAUCUGAUGAGUUGCUGCUGGCUUGCUUUAGAGCAUGUGCACACUUGUCAUCUUUAUAUCUCCACCUUUGUGCACAUUUUGUAGGCCUGAAUAUCUUUCUGAGUUGUUAGCGACUCAGGUUUGAGGAUUGAUUUUAAAUAAUCUUUCUUUACAUUUGCAGGCCUAUGUUUCUUUAUAUAUACCCAUUGUAUGUUCUAGAAUGUAAUAAAANGGGCCUUUGUGCCUAUAAACAUUAAUACAACUUUCAGCAACGGACCUCUUGGCUCUCGCAUCGAUGAAGAACGCAGCGAAAUGCGAUAAGUAAUGUGAAUUGCAGAAUUCAGUGAAUCAUCGAAUCUUUGAACGCACCUUGCGCUCCUUGGUAUUCCUUGGAGCAUGCCUGUUUGAGUGUCAUUAAUAUAUCAACCUCUUCAAUCUUUGGCUUGUUGAGUGUUGAAUGUGGGUUUGCUGGUUUCUCUCUUGAGGUCAGCUCCCCUGAAAUGCAUUAGCUGAACAAUUUGUGNACCUUGNUCAUUGGNGUGANAAUUAUCUACGCUACUGACAACAAAGCAAGCUCAGCUUCUAACAGUCCAUUGACUUGGACAAUGUUUAUAUCNAAUGUGACCUCAAAUCAGGUAGGACUACCCGCUGNACUUAAGCAUAUCNAUAAGCGGAGGAAAAGAACUNACAAGGAUUCCCCUAGUAACUGCGAGUGAAGCGGGAAAAGCUCAAAUUUAAANUCUGGCAGUCUCCGNCUGUCCGAGUUGUAAUCUAGAGAAGUGUUAUCCGCGUUGGACCGUGUACAAGUCUCCUGGAAUGGAGCAUCAUAGAGGGUGAGAAUCCCGUCUUUGACACGGACUGCCAGGGCUUUGUGAUGCGCUCUCAAAGAGUCGAGUUGUUUGGGAAUGCAGCUCAAAAUGGGUGGUAAAUUCCAUCUAAAGCUAAAUAUUGGCGAGAGACCGAUAGCGAACAAGUACCGUGAGGGAAAGAUGAAAAGAACUUUGGAAAGAGAGUUAAACAGUACGUGAAAUUGCUGAAAGGGAAACGCUUGAAGUCAGUCGCGUUGGCCAGGGAUCAACCUUGCUUUUGCUUGGUGUACUUUCUGGUUGACGGGUCAGCAUCAAUUUUGACCAUUGGAAAAAGGUCAAGGGAAUGUGGCAUCUUCGGAUGUGUUAUAGCCCUUGGUUGCAUACAGUGGUUGGGAUUGAGGAACUCAGCACGCCGCAAGGCCGGGUUUUAACCACGUACGUGCUUAGGAUGCUGGCAUAAUGGCUUUAAUCGACC